This 326-nucleotide ribosomal RNA is filed under the name uncultured eukaryote. RNAcentral's name for it is "partial 18S ribosomal RNA". It matches the Rfam family "Eukaryotic small subunit ribosomal RNA", at positions 1470 to 1796 of the family's 1831-position model. The record is from RNAcentral.
CCCUUAGAUGUUCUGGGCCGCACGCGCGCUACACUGAUGCAUUCAACGAGCCUAGCCUUGACCGAGAGGUCCGGGUAAUCUUUGAGACUGCAUCGUGAUGGGGCUAGAUUAUUGCAAUUAUUAAUCUUCAACGAGGAAUGCCUAGUAAGCGUGAUUCAUCAAAUCGCGUUGAUUACGUCCCUGCCCUUUGUACACACCGCCCGUCGCUCCUACCGAUUGAGUGUGUUGGUGAGGAGUUUGGAUUGGCCUCGGAAGGUGGUUCGCCACCGUCCGUAGCUGAGAAGUUCUCCAAACCGCCCCACUUAGAGGAAGGAGAAGUCGUAACA